UAACGCGAAGAACCUUACCUGGGCUUGACAUGGCGGUGGUACUGAGACGAAAGUCGAGGACCCUUCGGGGAGCCGUCACAGGUGCUGCAUGGCUGUCGUCAGCUCGUGCCGUGAGGUGUUCGGNCAAGUCCCNGAAAGAGCGCAACCCCUGCCGCCAGUUACGUGUNUGGCGGNCUCGGACAAACCGGAGGAGGGUGGGGAUGNUCAAGUCAGCAUGGCCNUUAUGUCCAGGGNGACCCACCCGCUACAAUGNCAGGUACAACGGGCAGCGAAGCCGCGAGGUGGAGCGAAUCCCGCAAAGCAUGUNGUCGUUACGAUAGCAGCAUCCAACUCNCNUGCAUGAACNGANCNGACGUCA
Molecule: ribosomal RNA, 358 nt
Filed under: uncultured bacterium
Lineage: Bacteria
Description: partial 16S ribosomal RNA
Rfam family: Bacterial small subunit ribosomal RNA
Source: RNAcentral